This 345-nucleotide long non-coding RNA is filed under the name Equus caballus (horse). RNAcentral's name for it is "lncRNA (ENSECAG00000056603.1)". The record is from RNAcentral. Lineage: Eukaryota; Metazoa; Chordata; Mammalia; Perissodactyla; Equidae.
CCUGAGCAACCCUGGCAACCAUCUUUGCAGGGACUCUUCAGUGGGCACAGGCUUGGCUCCACCAGGAGAGGAGACUGCAGACACUGCUAUACUCUGAAAUUUGGAACGGCAGCUAGCUUUGGAGACUGGAAGCCCUGGAUGUGCAUCUCAGAUUCACCACUUUCUAGUUGGCUGAGCCAAUCUUCAGACAGGCCAGGUAACCCGAGCCUCUGUAAAGUGGGGAUCACAGCUACUCUAUGAAGUUGUGAGAGAGAGAAUGUUGUCAUUGGACAUGUCGAGUUGCCUCAUGAACACAAACACAUCCAACUUCCAAAGAUUGAACUACGCGUGUUUAGUAAACCAAAC